AAUCACUAAUGACCUCAUCUUCAAAUGGUCAGUGAUAAUAAACAAGAAGGAGGGAUUUCCAAGGGAGCAGAGCAUUAAUAAGCUACUUGUGCAAGAAGCUACAAUGAGAAAAAAAAUAGCAAGAAAUAGAUGAGGGAAGGAGGUUCUGUAGAGGGAAAAACAAAGAGAGAAAAGGAGAAUGAAUUGUGCUGAGAAAGAGAUGCCUGGAUGAAGAAGCUGGCCCUAGCACCCAUAAAGCUGGAAAGAAAGUGGGGCCUUGGAAACUUCUGGAAGGAUGCGAGGAAAGAAAAAUGCAAGGAAAUGAGAUGGAGAGGAGAAAGAGAAACCAGGAAGCACUUCGGAAGCAUGUAAAUUACAAGGAAAUGAGGAACAGCCUUUAUUGAAACAGUCUGUGAAGUCUGUGCUAGCGCUGAGAGCUUCAUUUUACUGUCCUGGCAAGGAGGUGUGGCCCCUCUCCAGUGCCCAGCACCUCAUCGCUGUGGUAACAGAAGACACGCUUAUCUUCCGGAUUUUGCCUCAGAGACUUGGGCUGUACAAGCUGCUUUCCUGGGGUGGCUUGUCCUUUUGCAGUUAACCGAGAUGCCUGGGGAGAAGAGCUUCCCCCAACAGGAUGGCAGGCGAUGCUUCCAGAUGCGGUCACUUGGCACGUCUGAGCCGAAUGUCUCCAUAAAAAUAUGAUGUAAUUAACAGAGCCGCAGCAGCUGGAACAAUUCAGCACCUCACAUUGAUUUUCCAUGUCUCCUAUUUACUUUCAGUUUUUAAACUGUCUGCAGUGACAGGAAAUCAAAGAAUUAUAAUGGUGUGUGUGAGGGCCCAAUGCUGGGUCGGCAUUUCCUUGUGAAAUCCUGAGAUUAAUCAGUUUCCUAUCACUCAAUCAUCCCUUUUCACUUCUAAAGGAAAACUGUCCUCCCAAAUGCUACGAAAUAGCAGUCUAUUUUUGGAUAUUAAAAAAAUCAAUUGUAUUAUUUUAAAAUUUGAGAGGAGUGUUUUUAAAAAAAGUCAGCCCGAAGCAAUAUUCACUUAUCUGUUUUCCCAUUCAAGUUUAAUAGGAGUUGGCAAAGGCAUUUGGGUGCAGUGAGACACAAGUACUAUAUUCACCCUUCCCAAGUUUUGAGAGCUUGGAAAAGUUACUUGGUGGAACCAAAGAGAGGAACUGCAUUCCAAGUUUUUUUGAUCACUGAAAUGAAGGAAAAUAAGUUUCCCCAUAUGUGGUUAUUCAUGAGCCUUCAUCUGAAGCUGGUGGUUUUCUCAUAGUUGGUCACUGUAUUUCCAGCUCUGUCAGGUGAAAGUCAGAAUCUUGGGUUAAUUUCACUUUGGGUUCCUUAAAAUGCUGGAGAAAAUAGGCAGCUGCGGUUGUAGUGGGGAAACAGGCCUCUGUCUGAAGUCAGCUUGCUCUAGAUUGUGUUUGAAAACAUGCCUCAGAUUUAAGUGGUCUUGCUUUUUUUCCAGACUCCCUUGCCUUGGCAGAUUCUGUGUCUUGGCCAUACUGUAAGAACUCACUUUUCUUUGUCUUUUUAUUGAUUCAAGCAAUAUAACCAUUUCAUAAAUAAUUAGGAAAAUAAAGAAGAAAAUUUCUCAUAAUUCUACUGCUCAAACGCAAUAGCUAUGAUUGCUUUGGAGCAAUUGCUUUGGGUCAUUUUCAAAUGCUGAGUUUUGGUAUGAUUCUAAGCAUAAUGUACAAACAACUUUACAUGUUGCUUUUUCACUUAAUCUAUGUCAGAAGCAUCUCCCCAAGUUAUGAUUAGCUUCAGUAAUUAUCUUUUUAAUUGCUGCCCAAACAGCUGGAACAAUUCAGUCCCUCUUAUUGACUUUCCAUGUGUCCUAUGGAAGUAGAGACAGUCUAUUAACUAUUUCUGUAUUUUGGGACAAUAGAUCAAAUUCAUUUUUCACUGUAAUUAAUCCCAUGAUAAGUAUCUUUAUAAAUAAGCCUUUUCUAUAUAUAAGAUAAUUUCUUUAGGAUAAAUUCCUAGAAAUUACAGGGUCAAAGUGGAUACAUAUUUUAUGACUCUUGAUAUUUCUUAUUGACCUUUAAAGCUAUUAUGUGACUUUAUAUUAUCACCUAAAAUGUUUGAGGAAUUCAUGCUUUACGAGCGUAUUUUAUUGACUAAAUAUGCAGUACUGAGAGAGCUUUAUGUGUGCAGUUUGAUGAUGCUGACAGAUAUCCCGGAGAUAAACAUUUUUUAAUUUAAAGAUGUUCUGUUUAUGUUUAACAUACAGAAGUUAAUGUUAAACAUGAUGCCUAUUUUGUUUAACAUACAGAAGUGACUGUAUUAAAGCCAUUUCUUCUAAAUGUGCAAUAAACUAUGAAUUCUUUGCCUGGU
This 2321-nucleotide long non-coding RNA is filed under the name Homo sapiens (human). RNAcentral describes it as "long independently transcribed non-coding RNA 1915 (LINC01915)". Lineage: Eukaryota; Metazoa; Chordata; Mammalia; Primates; Hominidae. The record is from RNAcentral.